Molecule: ribosomal RNA, 254 nt
Filed under: uncultured bacterium
Lineage: Bacteria
Description: partial 16S ribosomal RNA
Rfam family: Bacterial small subunit ribosomal RNA
Source: RNAcentral
UACGUAGGGUGCGAGCGUUGUCCGGAAUUAUUGGGCGUAAAGGGCUCGUAGGCGGUCGUGUCGCGUCGGGAGUGAAAACUCAGGGCUUAACCCUGAGCCUGCUUCCGAUACGGGCAGACUAGAGGUAUGCAGGGGAGGAACGAAUUCCUGGUGUAGCGGUGAAAUGCGCAGAGUAUCAGGAGGAACACCGGUGGCGAAGGCGGUCUCUGGGCAUUACCUGACGCUGAGGAGCGAAAGUGUGGGGAGCGAACAGG